RNAcentral lists this long non-coding RNA (476 nucleotides) under Homo sapiens (human). RNAcentral's name for it is "HSALNT0407623". Lineage: Eukaryota; Metazoa; Chordata; Mammalia; Primates; Hominidae. The record is from RNAcentral.
CAGCAUUUUGGGAGGCCGAGGUGAGUGGAUCACUUGAGCUUAGGAGUUUGAGAAAAGGCCUAAGCAACAUGGCAAGACCCCAUCUCUAAAAAAAUAGUUAGAUAGAUAGAUAUAGAUAGAUAGAUAGAUAGAUGGAUAGAUAGAUAGAUAGAUAGAUCUCUCUCUAUAUAUAUAAAAUUAGCCAGGCCUGGUGGCAUGUGCUUAUAAUCUCAGCUACCUGAGAGGCUGAGGUGGGAGAAUCACUUGAGCUUCGGGUGUGGGCGGGUGUCAAGGCUGCAGUGAGCCACGAUUGUGACACUGCAGUCCAGCUGGGUGACAGAGCAAGACCCUGUCUCCAAAAAAUAAACAUAAAAAAUAAUUUUUUUUGGCCAGGCAUGGUGGCUCACGCUUGUAAUCCCAGCACUUUGGGAAGCUGAGGCAGGAGGAUCACCUGAGGUCAGGAGUUCGAGACCAGCCUGGCCAACAUGGCAAAACCC